AUCAUUACUGUGUUUCUGAGAAGUUAUAAAUUUGCCAUCUCCCUCCGCACAAGUUACCUUCUGUGUCUUUCCUGAAGACUAUCUUCCUCUCAAAAUGGACAUGAUGGAUCCACGGAUGUACAGCAGAGAGCCAGGAGGUCCAACCGCCGUAGACAGGAAGGAAUUAAAAUUGUCCUGGAAGCCAUCUUUACUUUAUGGAGACAGGUGAAACCAAAGUUCGAGCUAAAAUCCAUAAGAUGAAGGUGACAACAAAAGUCAACCGUCAUGACAAAAUCAAUGGAAAGAGGAAGACCGCCAAAAACAUCUGAGGAAACUAAGCAUGAAAGAACGUGAGCAUGCAGAAAAGGAGAGGCAGCUAUCAGAGGCAGAGGAAAAUGGGAAAUUGGAUAUGAAAGAAAUACACACCUACAAGUGAGUUCAGAAACUGAACCCCACCCUCUUGGGAAACGCCCAUUGGAGUGUUGUUUUUAACCUUUGUACAAUGUUUAGACCCAGUAAAUGCAUAAAUAGAAACAAAUGGUCAGAAGACAUAUC
Molecule: small RNA, 534 nt
Filed under: Pan troglodytes (chimpanzee)
Lineage: Eukaryota; Metazoa; Chordata; Mammalia; Primates; Hominidae
Description: retained intron
Source: RNAcentral